UACGUAGGGGGCAAGCGUUGUCCGGAUUUAUUGGGCGUAAAGAGCGUGUAGGCGGCCAGGUAGGUCUGCUGUGAAAACUCGAGGCUUAACCUCGAGAUGUCGGCGGAAACCAUCUGGCUAGAGUCCGGAAGAGGAGAGUGGAAUACCCGGUGUAGCGGUGAAAUGCGCAGAUAUCGGGAAGAACACCCGUGGCGAAGGCGGCUCUCUGGGACGGUACUGACGCUGAGACGCGAAAGCGUGGGGAGCGAACAGG
RNAcentral lists this ribosomal RNA (253 nucleotides) under uncultured bacterium. RNAcentral describes it as "partial 16S ribosomal RNA". It matches the Rfam family "Bacterial small subunit ribosomal RNA", at positions 524 to 776 of the family's 1533-position model. The record is from RNAcentral.